This 253-nucleotide ribosomal RNA is filed under the name uncultured bacterium. Its description in RNAcentral is "partial 16S ribosomal RNA". It matches the Rfam family "Bacterial small subunit ribosomal RNA", at positions 524 to 776 of the family's 1533-position model. The record is from RNAcentral.
UACGAAGGGGGCUAGCGUUGCUCGGAAUCACUGGGCGUAAAGCGCACGUAGGCGGACUGCUAAGUCAGGGGUGAAAUCCUGGAGCUCAACUCCAGAACUGCCCUUGAUACUGGCGGUCUCGAGUCCGGGAGAGGUGAGUGGAACUGCGAGUGUAGAGGUGAAAUUCGUAGAUAUUCGCAAGAACACCAGUGGCGAAGGCGGCUCACUGGCCCGGUACUGACGCUGAGGUGCGAAAGCGUGGGGAGCAAACAGG